RNAcentral lists this ribosomal RNA (916 nucleotides) under uncultured archaeon. Its description in RNAcentral is "bacterial SSU rRNA". It matches the Rfam family "Archaeal small subunit ribosomal RNA", at positions 1 to 922 of the family's 1478-position model. The record is from RNAcentral.
UUUCCGGUUGAUCCUGCCGCCGGCCACCGCUAUCAAGUUCCGACUAAGCCAUGCGAGUCAAGGUAUCGUAAGAUGCCGGCAAACUGCUCAGUAACACGUGGAUAAUCUAACCUUGAGUAAGGGAUAACCUCGGGAAACUGAGGAUAAUACCUUAUAAUUGCUUAAAACUGGAAUGUUUAAGCAAUAAAAGUUCCGACGCUCAAGGAUGAGUCUGCGACCUAUCAGGUAGUAGGUGGUGUAAUGGACCACCUAGCCUCAGACGGGUACGGGCCCUGGGAGGGGUAGCCCGGAGAUGGACUCUGAGACAUCAGUCCAGGCCCUACGGGGCGCAGCAGGCGCGAACACUGUGCAAUGCGCGAAAGCGCGACACGGGGAGCUUGAGUGUCUUGGCAUAGCCAAGACUUUUCUCAUUCCUAAAAAGCAUGAGGAAUAAGUGCUGGGUAAGACGGGUGCCAGCCGCCGCGGUAACACCCGCAGCACAAGUGGUGGUCACUUUUAUUGAGCCUAAAGCGUUCGUAGCCGGUUUUGUAAAUCUUUAGAUAAAGCCUGAAGCUUAACUCCAGAAAGUCUGAAGAGACUGCAAGACUUGAGAUCGGGUGAGGUUAAACGUACUUUCAGGGUAGGGGUAAAAUCCUGUAAUCCCGGAAGGACGACCAGUGGCGAAAGCGUUUAACUAGAACGAAUCUGACGGUAAGGAACGAAGGCUAGGGUAGCAAACCGGAUUAAAUACCCGGGUAGUCCUAGCUGUAAACACUGCCCACUUGGUGUUGCAUCUCCGGUAAGGGGGUGCAGUGCCGUAGCGAAGGUGUUAAGUGGGCCGCUUGGGGAGUAUGGUCGCAAGGCUGAAACUUAAAGGAAUUGGCGGGGGAGCACCGCAACGGGAGGAGCGUGCGGUUUAAUUGGAUUCAACGCCGGA